CGCGGCCUAUCAGCUUGUUGGUGGGGUGAUGGCCUACCAAGGCUUUGACGGGUAGCCGGCCUGAGAGGGCGACCGGCCACACUGGGACUGAGACACGGCCCAGACUCCUACGGGAGGCAGCAGUGGGGAAUAUUGCACAAUGGGGGAAACCCUGAUGCAGCGACGCCGCGUGGGGGAUGAAGGCCUUCGGGUUGUAAACCCCUUUCAGUAGGGAACAAGGCCAUGAUUAUUGUUGUGGUUGAGGGUACUUGCAGAAGAAGCGCCGGCUAACUACGUGCCAGCAGCCGCGGUAAUACGUAGGGCGCAAGCGUUGUCCGGAAUUAUUGGGCGUAAAGAGCUCGUAGGCGGUUUGUCGCGUCUGCCGUGAAAACCCGAUGCUUAACAUCGGGCUUGCGGUGGGUACGGGCAGGCUAGAGUGCGGUAGGGGUGACUGGAAUUCCUGGUGUAGCGGUGGAAUGCGCAGAUAUCAGGAGGAACACCGAUGGCGAAGGCAGGUCACUGGGCCGUUACUGACGCUGAGGAGCGAAAGCAUGGGGAGCGAACAGGAUUAGAUACCCUGGUAGUCCAUGCCGUAAACGUUGGGCACUAGGUGUGGGGAUUGUUCCACGAUUCCUGUACCGUAGCUAACGCAUUAAGUGCCCCGCCUGGGGAGUACGG
Molecule: ribosomal RNA, 657 nt
Filed under: uncultured bacterium
Lineage: Bacteria
Description: bacterial SSU rRNA
Rfam family: Bacterial small subunit ribosomal RNA
Source: RNAcentral